This 301-nucleotide ribosomal RNA is filed under the name uncultured bacterium. Its description in RNAcentral is "partial 16S ribosomal RNA". It matches the Rfam family "Bacterial small subunit ribosomal RNA", at positions 509 to 809 of the family's 1533-position model. The record is from RNAcentral.
CAGUAGCCACGGUAAUACGAAGGGUGCAAGCGUUACUCGGAAUUACUGGGCGUAAAGCGUGCGUAGGUGGUGGUUUAAGUCCGUUGUGAAAGCCCUGGGCUCAACCUGGGAAUUGCAGUGGAUACUGGGUCACUAGAGUGUGGUAGAGGAUAGUGGAAUUUCCGGUGUAGCAGUGAAAUGCGUAGAGAUUGGAAGGAACAUCUGUGGCGAAGGCGACUAUCUGGGCCAACACUGACACUGAGGCACGAAAGCGUGGGGAGCAAACAGGAUUAGAUACCCCGGUAGUCCCUGUCUCUUAUAA